UCCUAAUAUUUUAAAAAAUCUCGCUUCUACGCUUCCUUACGCUUCCGCUUCCACGUACCCGCUUCCGUUUCCAUGUAACAUAGGUAGAAAUUAACUUGGUCUAUGCAGUUGCAUAUUAAUCACAAACCAAUCGCACACGUCUUAUUUUUUGAAUAAUAGUACGAAAAAAAUUGGUUACCGACAAAAAAGGAAAAAGUCAAUCUGAUCCGAUUUAAAAUAGUUCAAGUGUAGUCAACCGUUAACCAAUAUCUCAUUUAAAUCCUUAUAUUAUAAGCUACCAGAUAAUUAAUAUAAAUGUUUACAUACAUUUUAUUUUUUUCCACUGAAAGAUAAGUAAUUUUUUUUUAUCAACUAAAGAUAAGUAAUUUAAAGAUUUAAAAAGACAUGACAAUUGCAUUACGUACGUUGCAUCUCAUCUCCCAACCAUUAAAUAAUUGAGACUGUUCUACCGUUCUAGUUCCGAAAUUCUAAAAAUACAUAUAUAUGUAUGUAUAAAUAUAUAUAUAUUAAUAUUAAUAUUUAAUUGUAGGAUUUCUUAAAUUUAAUGGAAAUCCAACCUAAAAUAUAUGGUUUCAAAUAUUUUGGAUUGAGUUUUCCGUAAAAUUAAACACCGUAAUUACAUAUAUAUAAUAUAUACAUAUAUACAUAUAUAUGUAUUUAUAUAACUCCAAAGCUACAACUCUCCAUUAAAAAUGUUCUUACUUUUUCCGUUUUAACGUGUAAUUACCGAAUCUUAAUAGCUGAACUGACCAAUAUUAUUGUUUUUACCGAAUCUUAAUGGUAACUACAGUUAGUUUGAAAAUUGUUUCAAAGAGUCCAACAUUUUUUUGAACUGGAUAUCAAGUUUAAUAUGUGUGCUACAUAGUUAUGAUUUUUAUAGUGUAUAUAUCAUAUAUAUCUCUACUCAUGUAAAAGUUUUCUUUAAGAAAAUUAAUUUUGAAGAUCACAAAGUUUGAAAUUCAGCGGUGAAAAGAUGAAUGAACCCGCAACCAUCAUCAUCCGUGACAACCUUUGGCGUCCUACAACACAUGCAAUAUAAUUAGUUUUUCUUCUUGGUCAUACAUUUCAUCAUUUGCAUGAUUCAUCACAAUAUGUGUAUUAGUUACUCUUCUCAGGUCAUUCUCUCUUUCAAAACGAAACUAGAAGCAGUAGUUACCGAGAUCUGACCCUACUAUUCUGCCCAGCAGGUUCCAUUUGCGUGGAAGAGGCGGAAUAAGAGCCAAGAUCUUUUGCUCCUGAGGGUUGGUGAGCCUACCUGUAAGGCUUCUGCAAGUCUUCGAGCCAUGGGUUCAGCUGGAGGAGUUUCUUGUCGACUCCUAGCAAAACUAGAGGGACUCUGGAGACUGGAAAUCUUCCCUAGAGGGAAUUCUUGCAAGCUAGAAUGAUAAGGCGCGAGAUGAUAGACAUAAUUCGAAACUUAUUGCAACUUGACCAGGCUUGAGAUUGGAUCCAGAGAUUGAGAAAACUCUUGCGGAGGUGAAGAAAUUUUCCUGGAGGACGCUUCUUUUAGUAAAAGACUAGGACUUUCACUUGGUUGCUUGUUAGCGUCCAAUGGAAGAAGAGAGUAGCCGCUUUCCAAGCAAGAACCGCUGGUCAGAAGGGAAUAUUCACCUCGAAAACGUGUCUGGGAGACCUUUGUAUGGUUUUCUAUUCAUAGAUGUAUUUCAUAUCAGUUAGAAAAAUAACAAAAUUUAGGAGUUUCCCUAAUAUAUGCUCAGUUGCUAUAAUAAUUUGUACUUCUACUCUAUGCCAUAAAAACGUUCAUAUUUUCUCAA
Long non-coding RNA from Brassica napus (rape), 1775 nucleotides. RefSeq lists it as uncharacterized. The record is from RefSeq and is a predicted model, not a curated record. NCBI's taxonomy places the organism in Eukaryota, Viridiplantae, Streptophyta, Magnoliopsida, Brassicales, Brassicaceae. The transcript is spliced from 2 exons.